GACGAACGCUGGCGGCGUGCCUAAUACAUGCAAGUCGAACGCUGAAGGAGGAGCUUGCUUCUCUGGAUGAGUUGCGAACGGGUGAGUAACGCGUAGGUAACCUGCCUGGUAGCGGGGGAUAACUAUUGGAAACGAUAGCUAAUACCGCAUAAGAGUAGAUGUUGCAUGACAUUUGCUUAAAAGGUGCAAUUGCAUCACUACCAGAUGGACCUGCGUUGUAUUAGCUAGUUGGUGGGGUAACGGCUCACCAAGGCGACGAUACAUAGCCGACCUGAGAGGGUGAUCGGCCACACUGGGACUGAGACACGGCCCAGACUCCUACGGGAGGCAGCAGUAGGGAAUCUUCGGCAAGGGACGGAAGUCUGACCGAGCAACGCCGCGGGAGUGAAGAAGGGUGUCGGAUCGUAAAGCUCGGUUGUAAGAGAAGAACGAGUGUGAGAGUGGAAAGUUCACACUGUGACGGUACCUUACCAGAAAGGGACGGCUAACUACGUG
RNAcentral lists this ribosomal RNA (495 nucleotides) under uncultured bacterium. Its description in RNAcentral is "partial 16S ribosomal RNA". It matches the Rfam family "Bacterial small subunit ribosomal RNA", at positions 28 to 507 of the family's 1533-position model. The record is from RNAcentral.